RNAcentral lists this transfer RNA (73 nucleotides) under Camelus bactrianus (Bactrian camel). It matches the Rfam family "tRNA". Rfam says of the family: Transfer RNA (tRNA) molecules are approximately 80 nucleotides in length. Their secondary structure includes four short double-helical elements and three loops (D, anti-codon, and T loops). The record is from Rfam by way of RNAcentral. Lineage: Eukaryota; Metazoa; Chordata; Mammalia; Artiodactyla; Camelidae. RNAcentral also lists the same sequence under 2 other names.
GAGGGUACAGCUCAGUGAUAGAGGGCAUGCUUUGCAUGCAUAAGGUCCUGGGUUCUAUUUCCCAGUACCUCCA